Molecule: ribosomal RNA, 520 nt
Filed under: uncultured bacterium
Lineage: Bacteria
Description: bacterial SSU rRNA
Rfam family: Bacterial small subunit ribosomal RNA
Source: RNAcentral
AGAACUUAGCAGAGAUGCUUUGGUGCCUUCGGGGAACUCUGAGACAGGUGCUGCAUGGCUGUCGUCAGCUCGUGUUGUGAAAUGUUGGGUUAAGUCCCGCAACGAGCGCAACCCUUUAUCCUUUUGUUGCCAGCGGUUAGGCCGGGAACUCAAAGGAGACUGCCAGUGAUAAACUGGAGGAAGGUGGGGAUGACGUCAAGUCAUCAUGGCCCUUACGAGUAGGGCUACACACGUGCUACAAUGGCGCAUACAAAGAGAAGCGACCUCGCGAGAGCAAGCGGACCUCAUAAAGUGCGUCGUAGUCCGGAUUGGAGUCUGCAACUCGACUCCAUGAAGUCGGAAUCGCUAGUAAUCGUGGAUCAGAAUGCCACGGUGAAUACGUUCCCGGGCCUUGUACACACCGCCCGUCACACCAUGGGAGUGGGUUGCAAAAGAAGUAGGUAGCUUAACCUUCGGGAGGGCGCUUACCACUUUGUGAUUCAUGACUGGGGUGAAGUCGUAACAAGGUAAGCGUAGUGCU